CUCGGUUACCAAAUAGUAUUCUAACACAUUUCUUCUGAGUGAUAAAUAUUGGUUCAAGCCUGUUGUUACUAAGGCCACCCCAUACUGAUAUCCCAAAUCGCAAGUGUGAUUCAAAUAGUGUGUAGUACAGUUCUUUGUAGAGUUUUUCUGGAAUAAUGUGCCGUAUUCUACAAAUUUUCCCACUUUCACAUUUCAGCUUUGUGUUGAGCGACCGUAUAUGAGCAUCCCAUUUAAGCUGAUCAUCAAUAAUAACACCAAGAAACUUCACCUUUUUGACUUGCUUUAUUACUACAUUGUUUAGAGUCAAUUCUGCUAGAGUCCAAGUUUCUAUCAAAGAUUUGGAAGAUGGGUGAGUGGUGUGAUAUACGGUCAGUCAGUAUUCCAGAAGCUACUAUACUCUCUACGUCGUAACUACACUUGGGGAGACUGUCAAGGAUGUCAGAGAGUUCAGAUAGUGCAACAUUGACAUUACCACUUGGAGGACGGUACAUUACACCAACUGUUACUGGGGAAGUUGUACUACUUACGGCCACAAAAAGAGUUUCUAAAUGUUCAGUGAUAUGGGAUACAUUGCCGUUUACUCUGGCACUAAGAGUGUCACAAACAUAGAGAGCCACUCCAGUGCCCUUUUUUUAUCUGGUAUUGUGUUUUGGUAGAAACUGUUGUAUCCAGUUAAUUGAUACAAACUGCUGGAUUCAGGACCUUCAUUUGUUUCCGCUAAGGCUAUGAUCGAGAAUUUCUUGGUGAGCCUAUGGGAUUCAAUAGCGAAAGUGUCGAAAUUUGACUUAUUGCCGUCGAUGUUUUGGAAGAGAAGCGAUGAAAAUUCAUUCAUUUGAUUAUCUAGUGCUUUGUUGAAUUCCUUGACAUUGUACGAUACGCAGUUAUUUAGUAUUUGAUCUACUUUUAUGAUAGUGUCAUCCACUUCACUACUUUCAAUAUCACUUAAAUUAGUGCAUGCAAGUCGAAAUGGAUUGUAACGAAUAACUGCUAAAUGUACGCACUUGGGACAGUAAAAAUCGUCAGAUAAUGUGUCAUUGUUAAUGGAUUUGGUAUAGCACUUAUGGUGCAUUGGGCAGUCGCAUUCACAGCAUUCAACAAUGAAUUGUCCUACGUUAAUGAACUUCGCACAGACUAGGCAUACCUCUUUACUCAGGGGAGUCAGAAUGGCUGGUAACCAUCCUGGUGUCGAGACUCAGCAGCAGUAGUAGAACCCGUCCCA
Bolinopsis microptera is the source of this 1219-nucleotide long non-coding RNA. RefSeq lists it as uncharacterized. NCBI's taxonomy places the organism in Eukaryota, Metazoa, Ctenophora, Tentaculata, Lobata, Bolinopsidae. The transcript is spliced from 3 exons. The record is from RefSeq and is a predicted model, not a curated record.